UACGGAGGAUGCAAGCGUUAUCCGGAUUCAUUGGGUUUAAAGGGUGCGUAGGCGGUCUUAUAAGUCAGUGGUGAAAGCCUACAGCUUAACUGUAGAAUUGCCAUUGAUACUGUAGGACUAGAGUACAGACGACGUUGGCGGAAUAUGACAUGUAGCGGUGAAAUGCUUAGAUAUGUCAUAGAACACCGAUUGCGAAGGCAGCUGACGAGACUGUAACUGACGCUGAGGCACGAAAGUGUGGGGAUCAAACAGG
RNAcentral lists this ribosomal RNA (253 nucleotides) under uncultured bacterium. Its description in RNAcentral is "partial 16S ribosomal RNA". It matches the Rfam family "Bacterial small subunit ribosomal RNA", at positions 524 to 776 of the family's 1533-position model. The record is from RNAcentral.